This 333-nucleotide ribosomal RNA is filed under the name uncultured bacterium. RNAcentral's name for it is "bacterial SSU rRNA". It matches the Rfam family "Bacterial small subunit ribosomal RNA", at positions 568 to 899 of the family's 1533-position model. The record is from RNAcentral.
CGUGUAGGCGGUUGGGUAAGUCAGAUGUGAAAGCCUUCUGCUUAACAGAAGAAGUGCAUUUGAAACUGCUCGGCUAGAGUACGGGAGAGGAGAGUGGAAUUCCCGGUGUAGAGGUGAAAUUCGUAGAUAUCGGGAGGAACACCAGUGGCGAAGGCGGCUCUCUGGUCCGAUACUGACGCUGAGACGCGAAAGCGUGGGGAGCAAACAGGAUUAGAUACCCUGGUAGUCCACGCCGUAAACGAUGGGCACUAGGUGUAGGAGGUAUUGACCCCUUCUGUGCCGAAGCUAACGCAUUAAGUCGCCCCGCUGGGGAGUACGGCCGCAAGGCUAAAA